GUGCUUGCUUUGGCAGCACGUAUACUAAAACUGAAAUGAUACAGAGAAAGUUUGCAUGGCCCCUACACAAAGAUGACAUGCAGAUUCGUGAAGCAUUCCAUAUAUCU
Molecule: small nuclear RNA, 107 nt
Organism: Eublepharis macularius
Lineage: Eukaryota; Metazoa; Chordata; Lepidosauria; Squamata; Eublepharidae
Source: RefSeq, a predicted model, not a curated record